UCGCACAAGUUGCUCAGAUCCAAGACAGCAUUCAAAGAGAAACUGACACAGUACGGUGACAAAUGUUUCCUUCUAUUUAACAAGCGUCAACCGAAAAGGUUCAAAUGCAUAUCGGAUGAUUUAAACAAUUCAUAAUGAUCUCAGUCUGUUAUCGAUUCAUGCAGAACUGCCACAUCAAUACAUUGUUAAGAAAAGUUUUAAAGCUCAAACAAUGAAUUCUAAUGCCGUAAAAAAAUACAGAGAUGGCGGGCACCAUUGAUUCGAAAUGGAGUUUGAAGAACGAACCGACAAGCCGCUCAUUACGUACAAUGAAGCUAUUAAGAGUGCAAGACAUCGGAAACGUGUUUGCAUAAAAUCCUAAAAUUGAUCCCUGUAACUCUCAAUUGUUGCAAGUUUCAAAUGGACGUGAUUCAUGCACCAGCAGUCCAUCAAAUGCUCGGGUUCUCGAUAAUACAUUGCUUUGUCUAUAACAAAGCAACAAAUGAUUGUCAUAGAACGGGUAUAGACCACAUGUGACGUCAGCAACAGCAGCAUAGGAUCGCUUCAUCCAAUUGCAUUAUCUUCGUCAACGAUUCACAACAACGUCACCCACAGCAUCUGUCAUCCCAGAGAUGAUCAGACUCUUCACAAUGGAUUUUACAGAUUUUAUAGGACUUGAAAUAUGUCUCCAAUGUAGUAAUUUUUACUUUUUUCUGUAAUUUUUUUAAUAAAAUGACGCAAAAUUUAUGGGUUUUUGGAAAAAAUAUAAGUUCUCCCAUUAAAAGUCAUUCAAUAA
Molecule: long non-coding RNA, 775 nt
Organism: Ostrea edulis (European flat oyster)
Lineage: Eukaryota; Metazoa; Mollusca; Bivalvia; Ostreida; Ostreidae
Exons: 2
Source: RefSeq, a predicted model, not a curated record